RNAcentral lists this ribosomal RNA (497 nucleotides) under uncultured bacterium. Its description in RNAcentral is "partial 16S ribosomal RNA". It matches the Rfam family "Bacterial small subunit ribosomal RNA", at positions 28 to 507 of the family's 1533-position model. The record is from RNAcentral.
GAUGAACGGUGGCGGCGUGCCUAAUACAUGCAAGUCGAGCGAACAGACGAGGAGCUUGCUCCUCUGACGUUAGCGGCGGACGGGUGAGUAACACGUGGAUAACCUACCUAUAAGACUGGGAUAACUUCGGGAAACCGGAGCUAAUACCGGAUAAUAUAUUGAACCGCAUGGUUCAAUAGUGAAAUACGGUUUUGCUGUCACUUAUAGAUGGAUCCGUGCCGCAUUAGCUAGUUGGUAAGGUAACGGCUUACCAAGGCAACGAUGCGUAGCCGACCUGAGAGGGUGAUCGGCCACACUGGAACUGAGACACGGUCCAGACUCCUACGGGAGGCAGCAGUAGGGAAUCUUCCGCAAUGGGCGAAAGCUUGACGGAGCAACGCCGCGUGAGUGAUGAAGGUCUUCGGAUCGAAAAACUCUGUUAUUAGGGAAGAACAAAUGUGUAAGUAACUAUGCACGUCUUGACGGUACCUAAUCAGAAAGCCACGGCUAACUACGUG